CCUACGGGAGGCAGCAGUCGAGAAUUAUUCACAGUGGGGGAAACGCUGAUGGUGCGACGCCGCGUGGGGGAAUGAAGGUCUUCGGAUUGUAAACCCCUGUCAUGUGGGAGCAAAUGAAAAAGAUAGUACCACAAGAGGAAGAGACGGCUAACUCUGUGCCAGCAGCCGCGGUAAUACAGAGGUCUCAAGCGAUGUUCGGAAUCACUGGGCGUAAAGCGUGCGUAGGCGGUUUCGUAAGUCGUGUGUGAAAGGCGCGGGCUUAACCCGCGGACGGCAUAUGAUACUGCGAGACUAGAGUAAGUGAGGGGGAACCGGAAUUCUCGGUGUAGCAGUGAAAUGCGUAGAUAUCGAGAGGAACACUCGUGGCGAAGGCGGGUUCCUGGACAUUAACUGACGCUGAGGCACGAAGGCCAGGGGAGCGAAAGGGAUUAGAUACCCGUGUAGUC
RNAcentral lists this ribosomal RNA (446 nucleotides) under uncultured bacterium. RNAcentral describes it as "partial 16S ribosomal RNA". It matches the Rfam family "Bacterial small subunit ribosomal RNA", at positions 338 to 795 of the family's 1533-position model. The record is from RNAcentral.